Long non-coding RNA from Humulus lupulus (European hop), 242 nucleotides. RefSeq lists it as uncharacterized. The record is from RefSeq and is a predicted model, not a curated record. Lineage: Eukaryota; Viridiplantae; Streptophyta; Magnoliopsida; Rosales; Cannabaceae. The transcript is spliced from 3 exons.
AAGUUGGUUAGGGUUUUUGAAAGGUUUUGGAGGAGCCAAAGCUAAUAGGAAGGUCCAAACCUUAAGCAAGAACACCAAAGAGUAUUGGCUAAGCGUAACUGGACUGAACGUUGGAGGGUGAAAACUUGCUGAGCGCUAAGGACUCCAAGUAAAAGCAAGGGCAAGGCAGAGCAGUGAGCGCUGGAGUCUUCCUUGCAAAUGUACAUGUGGACCGACCUUUUGGGAAGCCUUUUUAUUUUUGG